CUCGCGCACGACCACGACCUCAUGUACACCAUCGUGGAUCACUACCUCGAGGUAAAACUUUCUCCCGCCCACAUGCAGUAUUUUUGUUUGGAAUGCGGGAUUUCGAUAUGGACUGCACUAAUCCCUAGUGGAUUAGUGAGCCUAGCGGAGUAGUAGUAGUAAAUUCCUCCCCCUGGAGUAGGCAUUUCGCGUCCGAUUUUCCUCUAGCUUCGGCUCUAAGUUGAGUGUCCAUUGCUCAAGACAGGGCAUCUCCUAGUAGAAGUGAGAAAUUUGUCCAAGUUCAGUUAAACCUCGAAGGUUUCUGGCGGGUAAAAAUCUGAAUCCAACUUUUACUGUAUGACAAGUAUCUUGGAGAUCGUUAACUACUCAUUUUGCCCGCAAUGUUUCGUGGUGGA
RNAcentral lists this long non-coding RNA (395 nucleotides) under Hordeum vulgare. RNAcentral describes it as "long non-coding RNA (HVUL_LNC003380)". Lineage: Eukaryota; Viridiplantae; Streptophyta; Magnoliopsida; Poales; Poaceae. The record is from RNAcentral.